Molecule: ribosomal RNA, 582 nt
Filed under: uncultured bacterium
Lineage: Bacteria
Description: bacterial SSU rRNA
Rfam family: Bacterial small subunit ribosomal RNA
Source: RNAcentral
AACACAUGCAAGUCGAACGGUAACAUUUCUAGCUUGCUAGAAGAUGACGAGUGGCGGACGGGUGAGUAAUGCUUGGGAACUUGCCUUUGCGAGGGGGAUAACAGUUGGAAACGACUGCUAAUACCGCAUAAUGUCUACGGACCAAACGGGGCUUCGGCUCCGGCGCAAAGAGAGGCCCAAGUGAGAUUAGCUAGUUGGUAAGGUAACGGCUUACCAAGGCGACGAUCUCUAGCUGUUCUGAGAGGAAGAUCAGCCACACUGGGACUGAGACACGGCCCAGACUCCUACGGGAGGCAGCAGUGGGGAAUAUUGCACAAUGGGGGAAACCCUGAUGCAGCCAUGCCGCGUGUGUGAAGAAGGCCUUCGGGUUGUAAAGCACUUUCAGUUGUGAGGAAAAGUUAGUAGUUAAUACCUGCUAGCCGUGACGUUAACAACAGAAGAAGCACCGGCUAACUCCGUGCCAGCAGCCGCGGUAAUACGGAGGGUGCGAGCGUUAAUCGGAAUUACUGGGCGUAAAGCGCACGCAGGCGGUUUGUUAAGCUAGAUGUGAAAGCCCCGGGCUCAACCUGGGAUGGUCAUUUA